This 73-nucleotide transfer RNA is filed under the name Babesia caballi. RNAcentral's name for it is "tRNA-Ala". It matches the Rfam family "tRNA". Rfam says of the family: Transfer RNA (tRNA) molecules are approximately 80 nucleotides in length. Lineage: Eukaryota; Apicomplexa; Aconoidasida; Piroplasmida; Babesiidae. The record is from RNAcentral.
GGGCCGAUGGCGAAGGGGUAUCGCGUCCGCUUUGCAUGCGGAAGGUCUCGGGUUCGAAUCCCGAUCGGUCCAC